This 84-nucleotide small RNA is filed under the name Marmota monax (woodchuck). Lineage: Eukaryota; Metazoa; Chordata; Mammalia; Rodentia; Sciuridae. The record is from RNAcentral.
GCUGGGCAUGGUGGCGCAUGCCAGUAAUCCCAGCGACUGGGAAGCCUGAGGUUUGAAGAUCCCAAGUUCAAGGUCAGCCUUAGU